Salvelinus sp. IW2-2015 is the source of this 756-nucleotide long non-coding RNA. RefSeq lists it as uncharacterized. Lineage: Eukaryota; Metazoa; Chordata; Actinopteri; Salmoniformes; Salmonidae. The record is from RefSeq and is a predicted model, not a curated record.
AGGGUGUAUAGUGAGAGGUAUCAGGAGGGCUGUAAGUUAUAGUAGUUGACAUGUAGGAUGGAGAAGGGUGUAUAGUGAGAGGUAUCAGGAGGGCUGUAGUUAUAGUAGUUGACAUGUAGUGUCAGGGUAGGAUGGGGAAGGGUGUAUAGUGAAGAGGUAUCAGGAGGGCUGUAGUUGUAGUAGUUGACAUGUAGUGUCAGGGUAGGAUGGGGGAGGGUGUAUAGUGAGAGGUAUCAGGAGGGCUGUAGUUGUAGUAGUUGACAUGUAGUGUCAGGUAGGAUGGGGAAGGUGUAUAGUGAGAGGUAUCAGCAGGGCUGUAGUUAUAGUAGUUGACAUGUAGUGCUGGAGUUGCAGAUCAUUCUUCAUAUGGUUGAACUUGAAACGUCAGUAAAGUAAACUUUUUCAUGUUAUGUCUGUGUACCACCUGAAAAGAAGUGGAAAACCACACUCAACCCUCUCCUCUUCUGUGUGUGUUGUUUGUGUGUGUGUUGGCUGUCCCUUUCGCCCUCAGAUUCCCCUAAAGGUGCGGGUGACCCCGGCAGGCCCUGCGAGUCCGGCUUGCGUGAACCUGUAGCUCUGGAUGCACGCCACAGGUAGGCCACGCCCUCCGUUACCUGGCAACGCCACGGAACACAGCUGGUAACCCACAAAGACCGAGGACACCCAGUACACUGAAGGUCAGGCUGUCUGCCCGUCACCUACAUACAGACAUGCUGUACACACCACACACAACACACACACACACACACACACACA